GUUUAAAGCAAUUUAUUCAUAUUUUAAGUAGGACUAAAUAAAAUGUGCAAAGUAUAUCAUAACCACUUU
RNAcentral lists this small RNA (69 nucleotides) under Arabidopsis thaliana (thale cress). RNAcentral's name for it is "ATSL171210". The record is from RNAcentral. Lineage: Eukaryota; Viridiplantae; Streptophyta; Magnoliopsida; Brassicales; Brassicaceae.